CCCGGCACAAGCGGUGGAGCAUGUGGUUUAAUUCGAUGCAACGCGAAGAACCUUACCUACUCUUGACAUCCAGAGAAUUUGCUAGAGAUAGCUUAGUGCCUUCGGGAACUCUGAGACAGGUGCUGCAUGGCUGUCGUCAGCUCGUGUUGUGAAAUGUUGGGUUAAGUCCCGCAACGAGCGCAACCCUUAUCCUUUGUUGCCAGCGAGUAAUGUCGGGAACUCAAAGGAGACUGCCGGUGAUAAACCGGAGGAAGGUGGGAUGACGUCAAGUCAUCAUGGCCCUUACGAGUAGGGCUACACACGUGCUACAAUGGCAUAUACAAAGAGAAGCGAACUCGCGAGAGCAAGCGGACCUCAUAAAGUAUGUCGUAGUCCGGAUUGGAGUCUGCAACUCGACUCCAUGAAGUCGGAAUCGCUAGUAAUCGUAGAUCAGAAUGCUACGGUGAAUACGUUCCCGGGCCUU
RNAcentral lists this ribosomal RNA (463 nucleotides) under uncultured Enterobacteriaceae bacterium. RNAcentral's name for it is "bacterial SSU rRNA". It matches the Rfam family "Bacterial small subunit ribosomal RNA", at positions 920 to 1382 of the family's 1533-position model. The record is from RNAcentral. Lineage: Bacteria; Pseudomonadati; Pseudomonadota; Gammaproteobacteria; Enterobacterales; Enterobacteriaceae.